This 141-nucleotide small nuclear RNA is filed under the name Cervus hanglu yarkandensis (Yarkand deer). Its description in RNAcentral is "U1 spliceosomal RNA (ENSCHYG00000004287.1)". It matches the Rfam family "U1 spliceosomal RNA", at positions 22 to 166 of the family's 166-position model. From Rfam's summary of the family: U1 is a small nuclear RNA (snRNA) component of the spliceosome (involved in pre-mRNA splicing). Its 5' end forms complementary base pairs with the 5' splice junction, thus defining the 5' donor site of an intron. Lineage: Eukaryota; Metazoa; Chordata; Mammalia; Artiodactyla; Cervidae. The record is from Rfam by way of RNAcentral.
AUAAAUAUUAAGAAAGGCUCGACCCAGGGCGAGGCUUAUCCAUUGCACUCCGGAUGUGCUGACCCCUGCGAUUUCCCCAAAUGUGGGAAACUCGACUGCAUAAUUUGUGGUAGUGGGGGACUGCGUUCGCGCUUUCCCCUA